UUUGGAUUUACAGCACUGUAUUGUCUGCUAUUAUGGGAUUGGAGACCAGGCUAAUAGGGGGAUCUGUUAGCUACUGGCACAGAAGAGUCAUGAAAAUAGAGGUGUGCUCCUGCUCCCAGGAGAAGGGGCAAAAUUGAACCCUAAAUUCUUUGCUGGGCUUGCUUUCUUUUUAGCUGUGGCUCUUGCUAACUUAUGGAUCUUGUACUUGAUGCAGGCUGUCCUGAAAAGAUAGAGGAACAUGAAUUGUUGCUUCUUGAACUGCUGGGUGUCUGCAGUUCCCUCGCUGAUACCAACUAAAGGCAGAAAUGCAUUGCUGCAGAUUAGAUGGAUGAAAGAUUUCCCCAGUCCCCAUGCCAUAAACCAGGGUCUCAUGGAAGCCAGUUGGGCUACUCAUGGCAUAAGCAUUCGAUACAAGAUUAUCUGAAUUUCAUCCCUGGGGAGCUGUUAUCUUUCUUCACUUGAUGUGUCUUCACUUCCAUCUGUGCUUUAAAGUGUGCUUCUGGUCACUUCUGAACCUUCCCUCUCCCUCCUCUCCCUGCAAACAGAUGAAAGAAGAGCAGAAUAAGUGUUCUCCUGAGGAUAUGACCUUCAUUAUCCUAAAGAAAAAUGAGCUCACAAACAUCACAGGGAAGUUGACUCUUUGUAGAACAGUCAAGUUGCCCAGUGAAAAUCCUAUCCACGUAGAAUUUUAUUUUAAAUGCCCUUGAGUAACCAACAAUAUGUUGAAGAGAAGAAACAGUUUGGAAGCAGUUCUUUCCAAAUCUCCAAACUAGGUGUCAGCAUAGCUGAUCAUGGUUUUGCAGUUUGUUCUUCAACAUCCCAAAUAGCGGCAUUCUGCAUGAGCUCAGCUGGCUACCAGUUGUGUUCAGCAGUUGUUCAGGAGAGGUAACAGAUCGUUCCUGGGUUGGUCCGACCUGGAGGGUGGACAGGAGGGCACAUUGCCACGCUGGUAGAAAGUACAGGCUUCGCUGCAGAGGUGUGACCUGCUCCACCUAACGGCAGAGCAAAAAGCCACUGGCUUUAAAAGUUAUUGACUGCUUUCCCACUGGAAAGGGGGCAGGGAGAUCUGGGGUGGUGUCGUUGGUGUGUGCGCAGGUGCUUCCUCUUCUCUUGCUCCCUGACAAGCACCCCAAGCCCUCGCCGGGGGCUGCGAGCAGCAGGGUGCCCCGCAGAGGCUCUGGGGGAGCAUGUCGUCGGGGCACCGAGUGCAGGGCUCGCUCCAGCUGUCUGCUUCCACUUGCUCUCGCUCCUUGGAGCGGGUGCAGUGAGGAGGGUGUGAAGCAGAAGUGAGAGGAUUACUUACUUCUCCUUCACCCUCCCACCUUUCCAAGUGCAUCAGGGCGUUGUGAGGGGACCUGGCGUGCGAUGUGCUAGAGCUGGCCCUAUCAGUCAGAGCAGCCCCAGGGCAGUAGACCUUGACACAGUAUUGGGAGCAGUGGCCAGUUUGGCUUAAUCUGCUGGACGGGUUCAGUCCUGGCGCCAGCAGCAGCUAUGCUGUUUUCUAGUUUGGGGAUCUGGAAAGGAUUUCUCCUAGGUGAUGAAACUGGCCAAAAGCUGUAAUGGUUUCCAUGAUGAUGUUUAGGUCUUUAAAUGACAAGCGUCUGAACCCUGGGAGAGCCCCAGGUGUGUGAAGAGUUGGAGAGGAUCCAGUCUGAGCCCCACAUAAAUCAGGGGGCUGAUUAAGCAAGUAUGCAUGCAGCGAUUGCACAUGUCUCCAUGAAGAUAAAGUCUCUGGCUUCAAAUCAGUAUCCCUGGCUGUUCCUGAGGGUGAAGAGAGAGCAUGGAUUUCAUCACCUCCACAAAGUUUUGAGCAAUUAGAGCUAUUGGCAUGUCUUGCAGCUGGUGCAGGAGCAAAACUGCCAGAUAGUUGGAUGUUUACCUCCUCUGGGUAGCAAUGGUAGAUAAAGAUUUAACUUCAUAAUUGACCAGGCUGGGGUUUAUGUGUUCAGUGGGCUUUGUUCACAAUGUUUCUUUGCACAGCACAAAAGUAUUAUCUAUCAUCUGCUUGCUCUUUCUCUUGUUAUACCUGAAGGACUGUCUAUACCAUAAAAAUACCUUGCACCAACAAAUAGCUCACACAGCUGUCCUGUUUCUGUAGCUGGUGUACCUACGCAAAAACCCAGAGUGUCUACGCAGAGUAAAUAGGUAACUUGACAUUGCUGUGUAAUGGUAGUGAUGUUGUACCUUGCUUCCCAGGACUUUUCUUCUUGUAUUUGGUCUAAAAUUCCUAAGUAAAAACUGGCUACUGUGGUAGUUGUUAUUCAAUAAACAUUAGAGUAUAGCUGUGCUCUGAAAGAUA
This is a long non-coding RNA of Apteryx rowi (Okarito brown kiwi), 2299 nucleotides long. Lineage: Eukaryota; Metazoa; Chordata; Aves; Apterygiformes; Apterygidae. The record is from Ensembl.